This 169-nucleotide ribosomal RNA is filed under the name Agaricales sp. RNAcentral's name for it is "partial large subunit ribosomal RNA". It matches the Rfam family "Eukaryotic large subunit ribosomal RNA", at positions 99 to 261 of the family's 3401-position model. The record is from RNAcentral. Lineage: Eukaryota; Fungi; Basidiomycota; Agaricomycetes; Agaricales.
CGGGAAAAGCUCAAAUUUAAAAUCUGGCAGUCUCUGGCUGUCCGAAUUGUAAUCUAGAGAAGUGUUACCCGCGCUGGACCGUGUACAAGUCUCCUGGAAUGGAGCGUCAUAGAGGGUGAGAAUCCCGUCUUUGACACGGACUACCAGGGCUGUGUGGUAUGCUCUCAAA